This is a transfer RNA of Ovis aries (sheep), 72 nucleotides long. It matches the Rfam family "tRNA". Rfam says of the family: Transfer RNA (tRNA) molecules are approximately 80 nucleotides in length. Their secondary structure includes four short double-helical elements and three loops (D, anti-codon, and T loops). Further hydrogen bonds mediate the characteristic L-shaped molecular structure. tRNAs have two regions of fundamental functional importance: the anti-codon, which is responsible for specific mRNA codon recognition, and the 3' end, to which the tRNAs corresponding amino acid is attached (by aminoacyl-tRNA synthetases). tRNAs cope with the degeneracy of the genetic code in two manners: having more than one tRNA (with a specific anti-codon) for a particular amino acid; and 'wobble' base-pairing, i.e. permitting non-standard base-pairing at the 3rd anti-codon position. The record is from Rfam. NCBI's taxonomy places the organism in Eukaryota, Metazoa, Chordata, Mammalia, Artiodactyla, Bovidae.
UCCCUGGUGGCUCAAAGGUUAAAGCAUCUGCCCGCAAUGCGGGAGACCCAGGUUUGAUCCCUGGAUUGGGAA